AAGAAUUCAUCGAACCAAAAUUUAUGUUAUGUACUGAAACUAUAUGAACAUGAAUGAUGUAUGCAUGAGAACUUACUGUAAAAAUUAAUGCAGAAACGGAACGGGAAAAAUCCACUGCAGAACGGGGACUGUAGAACAGAACGGGAUUAUACAGAAGUGAACGGGACGGGACAGAAAGGAACAGAACGGGAUUAUCUGCAGAACGGGACGGAAAAACUUCAGAACGGGAAUUCUAGAACGGGACGGGACAAAAAAAAUUUCUAGAAAUGGAAGGGAAAUUUUUUGUAUGUGUCAAAUGCUUUCCCUAUACCAUUUAUUUAUAGAAAAAGUUUGCAUGUAACCGUCGUCAAAACGACGUAGUUUCACAAACCCGCCCGUCACGACCACGACCCGACCCGAGUCCACGAUCCGACCCGAGUCAAUUUUCUCAUUCAAA
RNAcentral lists this long non-coding RNA (436 nucleotides) under Panax ginseng (ginseng). RNAcentral's name for it is "long non-coding RNA (PGIN_LNC010149)". Lineage: Eukaryota; Viridiplantae; Streptophyta; Magnoliopsida; Apiales; Araliaceae. The record is from RNAcentral.